CCUACGGGUGGCAGCAGUGGGGAAUAUUGGACAAUGGGGGGAACCCUGAUCCAGCCAUGCCGCGUGUGUGAAGAAGGCCCUCGGGUUGUAAAGCACUUUCAGUGAGGAAGAACGCCUGGUGGUUAAUACCCAUCAGGAAAGACAUCACUCACAGAAGAAGCACCGGCUAACUCCGUGCCAGCAGCCGCGGUAAUACGGAGGGUGUGAGCAUUAAUCGGAAUUACUGGGCGUAAAGCGCGCGUAGGUGGCUUGAUAAGCCGGUUGUGAAAGCCCCGGGCUCAACCUGGGAACGGCAUCCGGAACUGUCAAGCUAGAGUGCAGGAGAGGAAGGUAGAAUUCCCGGUGUAGCGGUGAAAUGCGUAGAGAUCGGGAGGAAUACCAGUGGCGAAGGCGGCCUUCUGGACUGACACUGACACUGAGGUGCGAAAGCGUGGGUAGCAAACAGGAUUAGAUACCCCAGUAGUC
This 465-nucleotide ribosomal RNA is filed under the name Vreelandella stevensii. RNAcentral describes it as "partial 16S ribosomal RNA". It matches the Rfam family "Bacterial small subunit ribosomal RNA", at positions 338 to 795 of the family's 1533-position model. Lineage: Bacteria; Pseudomonadati; Pseudomonadota; Gammaproteobacteria; Oceanospirillales; Halomonadaceae. The record is from RNAcentral.